CACUCUGACAGUGCACUUAUCUGAAUUCAACCUCAGUUUGAAUUGUCUCAAACCGGUCAACCGACUUGCCCCGGUCAGCCAGAUGCCCCACUUCCGCAUGGGACUUUGCUAUCAUGUCAUCAACAUAGCAAUUGAUUCCACGAUGAAUCAUAUCAUGAAACAAAGUCACCACGGCUCUCUGAUAAGUAGCACCGGCGUUUCGCCUCUCUGGAGGACAGUCUCCU
Molecule: long non-coding RNA, 224 nt
Filed under: Lathyrus oleraceus (garden pea)
Lineage: Eukaryota; Viridiplantae; Streptophyta; Magnoliopsida; Fabales; Fabaceae
Description: Pisum sativum (pea) long non-coding RNA (PSAT_LNC000805)
Source: RNAcentral